Pelobates cultripes (western spadefoot toad) is the source of this 766-nucleotide non-coding RNA. NCBI's taxonomy places the organism in Eukaryota, Metazoa, Chordata, Amphibia, Anura, Pelobatidae. The record is from the annotation of a GenBank genome assembly.
AACCAGUAUAAAUGCUAAUUUUGGUCAGUGUUUGUGACUAAGUGGCUACUAAUAAAGAGUGGACAUACCCCAUAUUGAAUACCCUGGGUUGUCUACAAAAUAUGUACAUGUGAGGUGAUUCAGACAUUUAUGACAGGUAACCGUGUUACAAUGUCACUCAGGAAAGGCAUGAUCUACGUGUGGUUGAGAAAUAGAACAGCAAGGUGGGGAGAAUUCUUUCCUUAGUUGUUCAAUCUUGUCGGUAAAGUAGCAUGCAAAGCUAUCGGCUGUAAGGUUAGUUUAGGGGGUGGCACAGCAGGGUGAAGAAGAGAGUCCAAGGUGUCAAAGAGACACCUGGUAUUGCGGGAACAUGAACUAAUGAGAGAGGAAACGUAUGACUGUUUUGCGAGGGCAAGGACUGCGCAGUAUGAGUACAAUAUGAAUCUAUAAUGGAGAUAGUCUGACUGGGUGCAAGACUUCCUCCAGGAGCAUUCAGCACAACGGGAGCAUCUUUGCAGGUAGCGUGUUGAUUUACUAUGCCACGGUUGGGGGCUCCUCGAGGUGCAUGCUUGGAGCGGGGCUGCAGCGUUCAAGGCAGAGGUGAAGGUAGUGUUAUAUGUGGAGAUGACCAGUGAGGGACAGCAGAGGGAAGGGAUGGAUAGCAGUAUUGAAUCAACGUCAGCUGACAGCUGCUGGAGGUUAAUAGAUUUAAGGUUCCUCCUGAGUUGAGGGGGUUAGGCUGAGAUUGUUGGGUGAGGGGGUAAUUGAGAGCAAACGAUAAGAGGUG